Molecule: ribosomal RNA, 85 nt
Filed under: Streptomyces sp. Amel2xB2
Lineage: Bacteria; Bacillati; Actinomycetota; Actinomycetes; Kitasatosporales; Streptomycetaceae
Description: partial 16S ribosomal RNA
Rfam family: Bacterial small subunit ribosomal RNA
Source: RNAcentral
CUGGCUCAGGACGAACGCUGGCGGCGUGCUUAACACAUGCAAGUCGAACGAUGAAGCCUCUUCGGGGGUGGAUUAGUGGCGAACG